GGCGGCGUAGCUCAGGGGUAGAGCAUGGGAUUCAUAAGCCCGUGGUCAGUGGUUCAAAUCCACUCGCCGCUA
This 72-nucleotide transfer RNA is filed under the name Phycisphaerales bacterium. RNAcentral's name for it is "tRNA-Met". It matches the Rfam family "tRNA". Rfam says of the family: Transfer RNA (tRNA) molecules are approximately 80 nucleotides in length. Their secondary structure includes four short double-helical elements and three loops (D, anti-codon, and T loops). Further hydrogen bonds mediate the characteristic L-shaped molecular structure. tRNAs have two regions of fundamental functional importance: the anti-codon, which is responsible for specific mRNA codon recognition, and the 3' end, to which the tRNAs corresponding amino acid is attached (by aminoacyl-tRNA synthetases). tRNAs cope with the degeneracy of the genetic code in two manners: having more than one tRNA (with a specific anti-codon) for a particular amino acid; and 'wobble' base-pairing, i.e. permitting non-standard base-pairing at the 3rd anti-codon position. Lineage: Bacteria; Pseudomonadati; Planctomycetota; Phycisphaerae; Phycisphaerales. RNAcentral also lists the same sequence under 1 other name. The record is from RNAcentral.